Molecule: ribosomal RNA, 253 nt
Filed under: bacterium
Lineage: Bacteria
Also listed under: 1 other name
Description: partial 16S ribosomal RNA
Rfam family: Bacterial small subunit ribosomal RNA
Source: RNAcentral
UACGUAGGGUGCGAGCGUUAAUCGGAAUAACUGGGCGUAAAGGGUGAGUAGGCGGAUAUGUAAGUUAGAAGUGAAAUGCCCGGGCUCAACCUGGGAAUGGCUUUUAAGACUGUGUAUCUAGAGUAUGUGAGAGGGGGGUGGAAUUCCAAGUGUAGCAGUGAAAUGCGUAGAGAUUUGGAGGAACACCGAUGGCGAAGGCAGCCCCCUGGCAUAAUACUGACGCUGAGUCACGAAAGCGUGGGUAGCAAACAGG